Molecule: ribosomal RNA, 254 nt
Filed under: uncultured bacterium
Lineage: Bacteria
Description: partial 16S ribosomal RNA
Rfam family: Bacterial small subunit ribosomal RNA
Source: RNAcentral
UACGUAGGGGGCAAGCGUUGUCCGGAAUCAUUGGGCGUAAAGCGCGCGUAGGUGGCCACAUAAGUCCGUUGUGAAAGUCAAAGGCUCAACCUUUGAAAGCCGAUGGAUACUGUGUGGCUAGAGUACGGAAGAGGCGAGUGGAAUUCCUGGUGUAGCGGUGGAAUGCGCAGAUAUCGAGGAGGAACACCAAUAGCGAAGGCAGCUCGCUGGGACGUUACUGACACUGAGGCGCGAAAGCGUGGGGAGCGAACAGG